UAGUAUUAUAGAAGAGCUAGAUUUGGACAUGUCUGCUUGCAAGUCAAUAGAUUUAAAACUGAGGGCAUAUUGGCCUUUUCUACUUAUACGUGUCUUCCUCCUCCGACUGAACAGCCACGUAGCAUAUCAACAGCUUUUUCGGUUCCAUAGCUUCUUCUUUUUCAACGUCUGUUCCAUAGCCUUUAGGCUUCUACCGUGUUCUUCUUCCUCAGUUCAAUCUAAUCGAUCCGCUUAACUGCAAUUUUUGUAAAUCCUCAGUCCUCCUUUGUGCACUGACCAGAAGUACUGUGUCCAAUCCCUAACAAAAGCUACGAUUUCACUUGAGAGCAGAGAACUCAAAUAAGAGCAAUACAACAACAAUCUACUGUAACCCACAUAAUCAAACCGUAGCACCGAGAAAGCAAAUAGAAACCAGGAUUGUUGGUUUUAAUAAAUGGAGAAAUCAAGGACAUGACAGAGAUGGGGAAACCACCCGGCGACAUCAAAUCUUUGAACAAAACCUUGUAGCCUUCAAAAUCUUUUGUUGCAAUAGGAACAAUUUUUUGGGUGUGGGCUUGCUAAUCCUGUACGCUACCCGACAUUCUCGCCGGAAUACUUGGUACCGCAAACUACGACCCAUUUGGACUCCUAACUUUCUGAAGGUGUUUUGGAUGGGUCUUAAAAACGAGAAACAAAAAUAAAAGACUAAUGGUGGUAGCCGAAUUUAAAGGUGGAGAUGUGGUGGUAUGCUCAGAUUUAAGGAGACGAUAGUAAUGGCGUGAAAGAUCUAAAAAUUUAAAAGAAAUAUUCACCGGAAAGUUUUGUGGCAAAAGCUAUUAUUUUCCGGCAAGAAGUAUGAAAGGUUUGUCUUUCGGACCAUUUUUACGGGCUUGGAAAAUGUGAGAAACACUCACCUUGCCAUGUCAGCAUUAAUCUGGUUAAAGUGUUCAAAUGGAAUAGACUUAAGAUGGAGUGUCUAAGUGAAAAGUAUGGACAACUUUAAGGGGCCGACGAUGUAUUUUGCCUUUAUGUUAUUUUGGGCCUUUCUCCCAACUUUUUUUAUUACUUAUGUUGUAGUUAAUUUAUUUUUAUUUUAUCUUCUUUGUUUCAGUUUUUACUCUGGGUUGUGGUAGCCGUCUCCUCUGCAUCAUCUUGUAAGCACUGCACUUCUAUUGGUUUUUUUUUGUUUUUUUUUCCUUAACUUCUUAGUAGAUUGUUUAAGUAUAAGUACUAUCUGUUUAUUAGAGUUAUUUUUUGUUUGUAAUAUAUGUCAAUAAGACACAACUUAUAUUACUAUAUAGUCAGAUUAAAUAAUGUUAAACGCAUCCUUGAAUUGUGAUUCAA
Long non-coding RNA from Nicotiana attenuata, 1323 nucleotides. RefSeq lists it as uncharacterized. The transcript is spliced from 2 exons. Lineage: Eukaryota; Viridiplantae; Streptophyta; Magnoliopsida; Solanales; Solanaceae. The record is from RefSeq and is a predicted model, not a curated record.